This 78-nucleotide transfer RNA is filed under the name Prochlorococcus marinus str. MU1404. Its description in RNAcentral is "tRNA-His". It matches the Rfam family "tRNA". Rfam says of the family: Transfer RNA (tRNA) molecules are approximately 80 nucleotides in length. Their secondary structure includes four short double-helical elements and three loops (D, anti-codon, and T loops). Lineage: Bacteria; Bacillati; Cyanobacteriota; Cyanophyceae; Synechococcales; Prochlorococcaceae. The record is from RNAcentral.
GCGGGCGUCGCCAAGUGGUUAAGGCAGCGGCUUGUGGCGCCGCUAUUCGGGGGUUCGAAUCCCCUCGCUCGCCCUCCA